UGAAGCCCCUUACCUUAAUGUGUGUGAUGAGAUUGACAGGAAAAGGAAGCUGGACUUGUGAGGAUGGAAGGGAUCUGAGAAGACCGGAAGAACAAUGGUGAAGUAAAGUAGAAAAAGUGAGAACACUGGGUGGUCCAGUCUGAUGGAGAUUCAUCUGGAUGCAAAAUGUGAAGACAAGCCUUCAGUUCCCUUCUUGACCACCAGCAUGGAACUAAACAAUUAAACCUGUCAGAAAAAAAAAAGCUGCUGUAUUUUAAGGUAACAGAGACAUGGACUUUUUAAGGUAACAGAGACAUGGACUUGAGAAGACAACUUGGCUCAAUUCCUAGCUCUGCAACUUACUUACUAGGUUUGUGUCUUUGGACUGCAUCCUAACAAACAACUGUGUCAAGACAUUUGAACAGCAUAUUCUACACAAAUAAAAAGGAAAUGAUAAAGAUAAAAGAAAUUAAUAGAAUGGAAAGUGAUGGAGAUAAACAAGUGAAAAGAUGGUCCUUUGAAAAGACUAAAACAUGGCCAAUGCACUGGCAAGAAUGAUUGGGACAAUAAACAAAAUAUAUAUGCCAGGGCAGCUCCCGGCGAGAUCGACGCAAAA
RNAcentral lists this long non-coding RNA (595 nucleotides) under Homo sapiens (human). RNAcentral's name for it is "HSALNT0407171". The record is from RNAcentral. Lineage: Eukaryota; Metazoa; Chordata; Mammalia; Primates; Hominidae.